AGUGAACGCUGGCGGUAGGCCUAACACAUGCAAGUCGAACGGCAGCACAGUAAGAGCUUGCUCUUACGGGUGGCGAGUGGCGGACGGGUGAGGAAUACAUCGGAAUCUACUUUUUCGUGGGGGAUAACGUAGGGAAACUUACGCUAAUACCGCAUACGACCUACGGGUGAAAGCAGGGGAUCUUCGGACCUUGCGCGAUUGAAUGAGCCGAUGUCGGAUUAGCUAGUUGGCGGGGUAAAGGCCCACCAAGGCGACGAUCCGUAGCUGGUCUGGGAGGAUGAUCGGCCACCCUGGAACUUGGACACGGUCCAGAGUCCUACGGGAGGCACCAGUGGGGAAUAUUGGACAAUGGGCGCAAGCCUGAUCCAGCCAUACCGCGUGGGUGAAGAAGGCCUUCGGGUUGUAAAGCCCUUUUGUUGGGAAAGAAAAGCAGCAGGUUAAUACCCCGCUGUUCUGACGGUACCCAAAGAAUAAGCACCGGCUAACUUCGUG
Molecule: ribosomal RNA, 492 nt
Filed under: uncultured bacterium
Lineage: Bacteria
Description: partial 16S ribosomal RNA
Rfam family: Bacterial small subunit ribosomal RNA
Source: RNAcentral